GGGGAACUGGAAGAAUUGAGUCCGGCCUUAAGACCCUGUCCCGAAGGGGUCCGCGGGUUCAAAUCCCGCCCCCCGCA
This 77-nucleotide transfer RNA is filed under the name Geoglobus acetivorans. RNAcentral's name for it is "tRNA-Leu (TAA) (tRNA-Leu-TAA-2-1)". The record is from RNAcentral. Lineage: Archaea; Methanobacteriati; Methanobacteriota; Archaeoglobi; Archaeoglobales; Archaeoglobaceae.